GACAGAGGGGGCAAGCGUUGCUCGGAAUCACUGGGCGUAAAGGGCGCGUAGGCGGGAUGGCAAGUCGGUCGUGAAAUCCUUCGGCUCAACCGAAGAACGUCGGCCGAUACUGCCGUUCUUGAGGGAUGCAGAGGAGAUUGGAAUUCCCGGUGUAGCGGUGAAAUGUGUAGAGAUCGGGAGGAACGCCGGUGGCGAAGGCGGGUCUCUGGGCAUCUCCUGACGCUGAGGCGCGAAAGCGUGGGGAGCAAACGGG
This 253-nucleotide ribosomal RNA is filed under the name uncultured bacterium. RNAcentral's name for it is "partial 16S ribosomal RNA". It matches the Rfam family "Bacterial small subunit ribosomal RNA", at positions 524 to 776 of the family's 1533-position model. The record is from RNAcentral.